AUCUCUUACGUGACUUGUUGUUCUUGCACGUAACUGUGUAACCGUCUGACUGAUAAAGAAGUUGUUAAAUGUCUUUACGUUUAGAAACAUAAUCAAGCAGACUCAUCCAAGCAGAUGCGAAUAGCCUACAAUGUCAGUACUCAAACCACCAGUAGCAGGCUUAGGACUAGAGUUUGCCAGUCAGACCACUACACCUUUGCCAGCACCACCACCCAGCAAGCUUCAUCAACUCCAGCCAUGCCGAGUUUACCAAUCAGACCUACACCUCUGUCAAAUUCGCUCACAACGCUGCCAGUAACACCCCUGCAAGGUAGAACUGCAUUUUCAUUAAUCUGGC
Molecule: long non-coding RNA, 337 nt
Organism: Sardina pilchardus (European sardine)
Lineage: Eukaryota; Metazoa; Chordata; Actinopteri; Clupeiformes; Clupeidae
Exons: 3
Source: RefSeq, a predicted model, not a curated record